This 649-nucleotide ribosomal RNA is filed under the name uncultured bacterium. RNAcentral's name for it is "bacterial SSU rRNA". It matches the Rfam family "Bacterial small subunit ribosomal RNA", at positions 1 to 687 of the family's 1533-position model. The record is from RNAcentral.
CGCCCUUAGUUGGAUCCUCGCAUUCAUGUAAACGAACGCUUCGGCGGCAGGCUUAACACAUGCAAGUCCGAACGCCCCGCAAGGGGGAGUGGGCAGUACGGGUGAGUAACGCGUGGGAACAUACCCUUUCCUGCGGAAUAGCUCCGGGAAACUGGAAUUAAUACCGCAUACGCCCUACGGGGGAAAGAUUUAUCGGGGAAGGAUUGGCCCGCGUUGGAUUAGCUAGUUGGUGGGGUAAAGGCCUACCAAGGCGACGAUCCAUAGCUGGUCUGAGAGGAUGAUCAGCCACAUUGGGACUGAGACACGGCCCAAACUCCUACGGGAGGCAGCAGUGGGGAAUAUCGGACAAUGGGCGCAAGCCUGAUCCAGCCAUGCCGCGUGAGUGAUGAAGGCCUUAGGGUUGUAAAGCUCUUUCACCGGAGAAGAUAAUGACGGUAUCCGGAGAAGAAGCCCCGGCUAACUUCGUGCCAGCAGCCGCGGUAAUACGAAGGGGGCUAGCGUUGUUCGGAAUUACUGGGCGUAAAGCGCACGUAGGCGGAUAUUUAAGUCAGGGGUGAAAUCCCAGAGCUCAACUCUGGAACUGCCUUUGAUACUGGGUAUCUUGAGUAUGGAAGAGGUGGGUGGAAGGCCCAAGUGGCAAAGGUGAAUU